This 17-nucleotide microRNA is filed under the name Corchorus capsularis. RNAcentral describes it as "sRNA CCACVL1_05732". Lineage: Eukaryota; Viridiplantae; Streptophyta; Magnoliopsida; Malvales; Malvaceae. The record is from RNAcentral.
AAAAACACACACACACA